RNAcentral lists this unclassified non-coding RNA (619 nucleotides) under Hevea brasiliensis (rubber tree). The record is from RNAcentral. Lineage: Eukaryota; Viridiplantae; Streptophyta; Magnoliopsida; Malpighiales; Euphorbiaceae.
UUAAUCUCAUUCAGGCUAUCUGCUUUGUCCUUAUUCGGCCAUUGUCUAAGAACACAUACAGAACGAUUAAUCGAGCUUUGGCGGAGUUGUUGUGGCUGGAUCUUGUAUGGGUUUUUGAUUGGUGGGCUGGAGUUAAGUUUGAAUCAUCUACUUCGCCUGUGUGGGCAUCUGUUGAAGAUGAUACUGCUAUUGUUCCUGGAAAGUCGUUUCUUGAUUGAUUAAAUGGAAUCUCAUUCUCUGUCUGUGGAUGCUCCUGCAUUUCUCUAUUUUUGGUCUUUGAUGCUGAAAGGCGAAAGCAAAUUAUUGAAGUGUUCUACAUGAGAUGUGUUUUCAAGUUGAAUCUUGAGGAUGCUUAAACCACCCAGUAAAUCAAGGGUGUUUGCUAUUCAAUCUAAAUGGCACACCAAGCUGUAUUAAUAAUUUAGCGUUAAGUAUAGUUUAUGGUUUAAUUUGGUUUUUCAUUUUAUAGAAAUCAGACCAGAAUGUAAUCCUCUGAACUGCAUUAAAUUGUAUAUUUUUGCAUAUUAUUUUAUUCCUUAAUAUUGCAUUUAGUAUAUCUUUUAUAGAUAGGUCAUGAUUUUUUUUGGAUCUUAUAUUUGACUUGCAUCCAAUGAAAAAG